AGGGUUUGAUCAUGGCUCAGAAUCAACGCUGGCGGCGUGCCUAACACAUGCAAGUCGAACGCGAAAGGGGAGCAAUCCCUGAGUAGAGUGGCAAACGGGUGAGUAACACGUGGGUGACCUGCCUUCGAGUGGGGGAUAACGUCCCGAAAGGGACGCUAAUACCGCAUGACAUCCUGUCCUUAGACGGACGGAGAUCAAAGCUAGGGAUCGCAAGACCUGGCGCUUGAAGAGGGGCCCGCGCCUGAUUAGCUAGUUGGUGAGGUAACGGCUCACCAAGGCUACGAUCAGUAUCCGGCCUGAGAGGGCGGACGGACACACUGGGACUGAGACACGGCCCAGACUCCUACGGGAGGCAGCAGUGGGGAAUUGUUCGCAAUGGGCGCAAGCCUGACGACGCAACGCCGCGUGGAGGAUGAAGAUCUUCGGGUCGUAAACUCCUGUCGAAUGGGAAGAAUGUUUCGUGGAUGAAUAAGCCGCGAAAGUGACGGUACCAUUAAAGGAAGCCCCGGCUAACUCCGUGCCAGCAGCCGCGGUAAUACGGGGGGGGCAAGCGUUGUUCGGAAUUACUGGGCGUAAAGGGCUCGUAGGUGGCCAACUAAGUCAGACGUGAAAUCCCCAGGCUCAACUUGGGAACUGCGUCUGAUACUGGAUGGCUUGAAUUCGGGAGAGGGAUGCAGAAUUCCAGGUGUAGCGGUGAAAUGCGUAGAUAUCUGGAGGAAUACCGGUGGCGAAAGCGGCAUCCUGGACCGAUAUUGACACUGAUGAGCGAAAGCUAGGGGAGCAAACGGGAUUAGAUACCCCGGUAGUCCUAGCCCUAAAC
RNAcentral lists this ribosomal RNA (820 nucleotides) under uncultured Acidobacteriota bacterium. Its description in RNAcentral is "bacterial SSU rRNA". It matches the Rfam family "Bacterial small subunit ribosomal RNA", at positions 8 to 807 of the family's 1533-position model. Lineage: Bacteria; Pseudomonadati; Acidobacteriota. The record is from RNAcentral.